Molecule: small nucleolar RNA, 131 nt
Filed under: Meriones unguiculatus (Mongolian gerbil)
Lineage: Eukaryota; Metazoa; Chordata; Mammalia; Rodentia; Muridae
Description: Small nucleolar RNA SNORA4 (ENSMUGG00000025644.1)
Source: RNAcentral
UAUAUAUAUAUAUAACUAAUUGGGAAGUAUUGCCUUUAUCAGCUGAGGUAAUUUGGCAGAAUGAGUAAGUUUAUACUCCAGAGUUGGCUGUCUCACCUACUGUGGUUCAUUGCUAUCUUGUGGCCUACAUU